Non-coding RNA from Paramuricea clavata, 648 nucleotides. The record is from the annotation of a GenBank genome assembly. NCBI's taxonomy places the organism in Eukaryota, Metazoa, Cnidaria, Anthozoa, Malacalcyonacea, Plexauridae.
GCAUGAGCAAAAAUUUUAAUUGAUCUAUAACGUUAACACUUAAAAUACACGUGACAGGAAAUUCUUGAUGUUAAAAGAAAAUAUAUUCUUGAAAUAACUUUUGAACAUAACAGGAAAUUAUUAAUGUGAAACUAUAGAAUAACAUUAGGGCAAAUAAAAAAAAAAAAUGGUUAGCGUCACCGCCCGCCUCUCGAUUUCUGCAGCCUCUGAAUUUUUUUUUAAAUUUUUUUAUGUAGAUCUCUUCGUUUUACAGCUUAAAGCAGUUUAAUAUUUGAAUUUUUUCUCAUGCCCAGACCUUCGCGCUAUAUACUGAUCGAUAGGAGCGCGUGGUCUUGGAUAUACAAGGUUCUUAUAUCAAAAUGGCGCCCUUCGCAACAUCAGUACAAAAAAUAUCACCGAUAUGGUGGAAAAACCGCCCCCAUCGCCCCAAAAAAUACUUUUAAAAAAUUAAAAACGAGUAAAGAAUUAAAAAAAAACGCCUUUCCGCCUUUGAAAAUUUGUGAGAGUGUGACGCUAACCAAGUAUUUUUUUUUAAUUGGCCUUAUCUAAAACUAAUUAUGAGCGGGAACAAGUUCGAAACAAGAAAAAGCAAGACUACAAAUAAUUUCAAAUAUUCUAGUAUAAUAAUCAUGCAAUAAUCGUUUUGAA